UGGGGAAUUUUGGACAAUGGGCGAAAGCCUGAUCCAGCAAUGCCGCGUGUGUGAAGAAGGCCUUCGGGUUGUAAAGCACUUUUGUCCGGAAAGAAAUCCUUGGCUCUAAUACAGUCGGGGGAUGACGGUACCGGAAGAAUAAGCACCGGCUAACUACGUGCCAGCAGCCGCGGUAAUACGUAGGGUGCAAGCGUUAAUCGGAAUUACUGGGCGUAAAGCGUGCGCAGGCGGUUUGCUAAGACCGAUGUGAAAUCCCCGGGCUCAACCUGGGAACUGCAUUUGGUGACUGGCAGGCUAGAGUAUGGCAGAGGGGGGUAGAAUUCCACGUGUAGCAGUGAAAUGCGUAGAGAUGUGGAGGAAUACCGAUGGCGAAGGCAGCCCCCCUGGGCCAAUACUGACGCUCAUGCACGAAAGCGUGGGGAGCAAAACAGGAUUAGAUACCCUGGGUAGUCCACGCCCUAAACGAUGUCAACUGUUGUUGGGGAUUCAUUUCCUUAGUAACGUAGCUAACGCGUGAAGUUGACCGCCUGGGGAGUACGGUCGCAAGAUUAAAACUCAAAUGAAUUGAC
Molecule: ribosomal RNA, 569 nt
Filed under: uncultured bacterium
Lineage: Bacteria
Description: partial 16S ribosomal RNA
Rfam family: Bacterial small subunit ribosomal RNA
Source: RNAcentral